GUGGGGAAUAUUGGGCAAUGGGCGAAAGCCUGACCCAGCAACGCCGCGUGAAGGAAGAAGGUUUUCGGAUCGUAAACUUCUAUCCUUGGUGAAGAUAAUGACGGUAGCCAAGAAGGAAGCCCCGGCUAACUACGUGCCAGCAGCCGCGGUAAUACGUAGGGGGCAAGCGUUGUCCGGAAUGAUUGGGCGUAAAGGGCGCGUAGGCGGCCCGGUAAGUCUGAAGGGAAAGUCCUGCUUUUAAGGUGGGAAUUGCUUUGGAUACUGUCGGGCUUGAGUGCAGGAGAGGUAAGCGGAAUUCCCGGUGUAGCGGUGAAAUGCGUAGAGAUCGGGAGGAACACCAGUGGCGAAGGCGGCUUACUGGACUGUAACUGACGCUGAGGCGCGAAAGUGUGGGGAGCAAACAGGAUUAGAAACCCGUGUAGUCC
This 425-nucleotide ribosomal RNA is filed under the name uncultured bacterium. RNAcentral describes it as "partial 16S ribosomal RNA". It matches the Rfam family "Bacterial small subunit ribosomal RNA", at positions 354 to 796 of the family's 1533-position model. The record is from RNAcentral.